CCUACGGGGGGCAGCAGUGAGGAAUAUUGGUCAAUGGGCUAAGGCCUGAACCAGCCAAGUCGCGUGAGGGAAGACGGUCCUAUGGAUUGUAAACCUCUUUUGUCGGGGAGCAACGAGGCCACGUGUGGCCGAAGUGAGAGUACCCGAAGAAAAAGCAUCGGCUAACUCCGUGCCAGCAGCCGCGGUAAUACGGAGGAUGCGAGCGUUAUCCGGAUUUAUUGGGUUUAAAGGGUGCGUAGGCGGCCUUUUAAGUCAGCGGUGAAAGUCUGUGGCUCAACCAUAGAAUUGCCGUUGAAACUGGGAGGCUUGAGUAUGUUUGAGGCAGGCGGAAUGCGUGGUGUAGCGGUGAAAUGCUUAGAUAUCACGCAGAACCCCGAUUGCGAAGGCAGCCUGCCAAGCCAUGACUGACGCUGAUGCACGAAAGCGUGGGGAUCAAACAGGAUUAGAUACCCCAGUAGUC
This 460-nucleotide ribosomal RNA is filed under the name uncultured bacterium. RNAcentral's name for it is "partial 16S ribosomal RNA". It matches the Rfam family "Bacterial small subunit ribosomal RNA", at positions 338 to 795 of the family's 1533-position model. The record is from RNAcentral.